Molecule: ribosomal RNA, 98 nt
Filed under: Acanthosepion pharaonis
Lineage: Eukaryota; Metazoa; Mollusca; Cephalopoda; Sepiida; Sepiidae
Source: RNAcentral
UUGAAACACCGGUUCUCGUAAGAUCACCGACGUUAAGCAACGUCGAGCCUGGACAUUACCUAGAUUGGUGACCGCUUGGGAAUACCAGGUUCUGUAAG